Molecule: ribosomal RNA, 854 nt
Filed under: uncultured bacterium
Lineage: Bacteria
Description: bacterial SSU rRNA
Rfam family: Bacterial small subunit ribosomal RNA
Source: RNAcentral
GUACGCUGGCGGCACGCCUAACACAUGCAAGUCNAACGCAGUAGCAAUACUGAGUGGCGAACGGGUGAGUAUAAUGUGGGUAUCUGCCUUUUGGUUUGGAAUAACACGAGGAAACUUGUGCUAAUACCGGAUAAGCCCUUACGGGGAAAGUUUUAACGCCAAAAGAUGAGCCCGCACUUGAUUAGCUAGUUGGUAAGGUAAUGGCUUACCAAGGCUACGAUCAAUAGCUGAUCUGAGAGGAUGAUCAGCCACAUUGGGACUGAGACACGGCCCAGACUCCUACGGGAGGCAGCAGUGGGGAAUCUUGCACAAUGGAGGAAACUCUGAUGCAGCGAUGCCGCGUGAGUGAAGAAGGCCCUUGGGUUGUAAAGCUCUUUCGUCGGGGAAGAAAAUGACUGUACCCGAAUAAGAAGGUCCGGCUAACUUCGUGCCAGCAGCCGCGGUAAUACGAAGGGACCUAGCGUAGUUCGGAAUUACUGGGCUUAAAGAGUUCGUAGGUGGUUGAAAAAGUUAGUGGUGAAAUCCCAGAGCUUAACUCUGGAACUGCCAUUAAAACUUUUCAGCUAGAGUAUGAUAGAGGAAAGCAGAAUUUCUAGUGUAGAGGUGAAAUUCGUAGAUAUUAGAAAGAAUACCAAUUGCGAAGGCAGCUUUCUGGAUCAUUACUGACACUGAGGAACGAAAGCAUGGGUAGCGAAGAGGAUUAGAUACCCUCGUAGUCCAUGCCGUAAACGAUGUGUGUUAGACGUUGGAAAUUUAUUUUCAGUGUCGCAGGGAAACCGAUAAACACACCGCCUGGGGAGUACGACCGCAAGGUUAAAACUCAAAUGAAUUGACGGGGACCCGCACAAGUAGUG